Molecule: small nuclear RNA, 106 nt
Filed under: Aureobasidium subglaciale EXF-2481
Lineage: Eukaryota; Fungi; Ascomycota; Dothideomycetes; Dothideales; Saccotheciaceae
Source: RNAcentral
UUUUGCGUUCUUCGGAACGUUAGUCAAUUUGAAACUAUACAGAGAAGAUUAGCAUGGCCCCUGCACUAAGGAUGGUAAGUUCGAACCGGAGCAUGCGCACCAAAUU